Paramormyrops kingsleyae is the source of this 2557-nucleotide long non-coding RNA. RefSeq lists it as uncharacterized. The record is from RefSeq and is a predicted model, not a curated record. NCBI's taxonomy places the organism in Eukaryota, Metazoa, Chordata, Actinopteri, Osteoglossiformes, Mormyridae.
UCACGCAGGGUGGAAACUUUCAUUUGCACCAGUUUAAAAAAGACUGUUGUGGGGGGGGGGGGGUACCAGCUCUCCAGAGCACCAGCACAGGAGCUGUCCGAGCCUCAGUCAGCACCAUACGGCGGGCUAAUCCAAUCAAGGGCCCAAGGGGGGCCCCGUGUCUCACUGCCCGGCAGAUACUCGGCAGAGAGAUGACAAACAAACAGCCGUGAGGAGAACAGGGUUGCAGCUGACAAGCCAUGGUGUCCAGAGACCACCCACACCAACUCCACGCUCAGAAGCAGGGGUGGGAGAAGAACUUCUAGUAUGAUUCAUUAAAACAGUCUUUUUCAGACUGAUCCCUGGGACCCCCAGAUGGUCCACAUUUUUACUCCUACCCCCGCUCCAAAAAAUGUGGACCGUCUGGCAGGGAGCAAAAACGUGGACCGUCUGGCAGGGAGCAAAAACGUGGACCGUCUGGCAGGGAGCAAAAACGUGGACCAUCUGGCAGGGAGCAAAAAUAUGGACCGUCUCGGCGUCCCCAAGAACCAGAGCAACCUUCUUUCGUCAGCCGGAAGACCUGCGAGAGGCUUGCGGGGGGUUCGUUGCUGGAUGCCAAGCAACCUUGACGAUGACAUCACCCAGCCCUGUCAGAGAUGCUCUUCUUACAGGAGCAAGACCAAUCUGAUGCCAGGAGAGAUGUAAUCUUCAUAGCCUCCAAAAAUGCCUGCACCCGUGAGACAAGCUGCGGCAACACAAGGCUUACUGUCUGCAGUCAGUUUGAGCAAGAGCUGUGUCACCUUGUCACAUUGAUUUACCGACUUGAAAUCUCCAGGGUUUUAGCAUAUCAAGGAAUAAUCAAACUACUAAAAGAACUACUUGAGUAACUUCUUUCAGAAUCACACCUCAUAUACAUCCUUAUGAUACGUUUGGAUAGGAUCUGGCUGCUAUUUAAAACGACUGCAAAAGCACAGGCUUUGCUUAUGGUCACAUUCAGAUCUGUAAACCAAAACAGCAGGGGUUGUCUGUGUGUCCUACCUGACGAACUCUGUAUGGCUGCUUCCCUAAACAUGAUAAAUCCUCUCAGCUCACAAAUCACUUCUUCCCCAGACGCCCUAACCAACGAAAGGGGAUGUCACCUGAUCAAGAGAUUUAAUGUCUUGAUCCAAGGCUCCUGAACCCAUGCCAUUCUAAUCUGUGAAUCGUCCUUGAAAAACAUUAUACAAGCCCAAUAAAUUCCACACAUGGUGUCUUUCCACUCUCUUAAAGGGUGUAUGUACAUCACAACAACCUUUUCAUUUUGUACCAAAAAAAAGUUUGAUUGUUUAAGUUAAAUUUGUAUAUUUUUACAAAUUAUCUACUGAAUCUUUUUUGAAAACAGUACAACUUAAAAACGAAGUGUGAAUAUGCUUCCAAAAAUUAUAUACUAUAUAUUAAAUUUGAUGUGGAUUUGAAAAGUCCAUAAUACUAUAAUGAAUGGCAGACAUGAAAAAGCAGGAGCAGAGCAAAAAAGGGCUUUAUGAGUUGACACUGAAUCAAAAAAACAGCUGCCAGAAAUUGAACACAUGUGGAUUUAUGUUUUAAUGCUCAGAUAUUUGCGGAUUUAUAAAUCACAAAGGCCUUUAUUUAGUUCAAUAUAUUUUAAUAAGAUGGAACCAUGUAUGAUCUGAGAAUUCUGGAGGAGUGCAGUCUAUAUGUUCAAUAUUGCAAUAUAAGAGGCGUGCGUUGAUUCCAGCUUUCUGGGACGUUACCCAAAAUGACAGGAGGGCAGGCCGCUUUGUGACGGAUUUAGGAUUUCUUUCUCUCUAUUGCAACACACGGACGACCCAGUGGCUCCAGAUGAGAAGCAGUCAUGCUCUCAGCACCUGGUGGGCCAGAAGGCAGGAGGCCAGAUCUGAUACAUGUCAGCAAACUCUCCCCAAUGAAUCACAUGACCCCGGGGCUUUUGACAGAAACACAAACAUAUGACAUCAUUAUUCUUUAGUGAAGAGCAGUGGAAAAAUGGAAGGACCUUUCUCCAGAUAAUUCCAAAAUAAAUGGAUGUGUGGUGUAAAUUUGUCUGUCUCUGGAGUUUGUAACGCAUAAGGAACAUUCUGUGCCAAAGGUUGUACAGUUUCCGUUGUCAUUUUGACUUAAGUAUGGUUUUCAUUUGUUUAAUUUGUCUACAUAAUGGAGUAAACUUUCACCAAUCCAUGUAAAUGAAGGAUCAAAACUGUAAGCUGUGGCUUUGAGCAAAUUUGCGGGUCUCUGGAGGUUCUUGCAAAACACACUGGCAUAAUCAAGCUUUAAAUGGGGCUAUUACUAUAAGCCUUGUGAGGAGAGAGCCCCUGCACAGUGGAACAGAAUGCCCCUGGAGACAUCCCACCACAGCCGCCACAUAUGGGUCCAAUCAGGGUCCCCAUCCUAUAUCAGUUACAUCAUCCUACCAUGGGGGGAGGGAGCUAAAGGAAGACGCACAUUACACGCUCAUAGGAAGUUUACUCACAGGAAAAUGUUCUGAGGGCAGAACGAAAAAUGAUUGGUUCAGAGAGAUAACCAAUCACAUUUUAGAGGAGGCGGGAUCAACCAAUCAGAUGUC